This 58-nucleotide transfer RNA is filed under the name Ixodes fecialis. RNAcentral's name for it is "tRNA-Ser". Lineage: Eukaryota; Metazoa; Arthropoda; Arachnida; Ixodida; Ixodidae. The record is from RNAcentral.
AAGAUUAAAAUAAUUAGACUUCUAAUCUAAAAAUAAUGAUUUAUUUCAUUUAAUCUUU